AGCAGCCGCGCCAGCCUCAUGCCGAGUCCCGCUAGAGAAGCCACAGCCAGUACGCCAGGUUUCCCCGCGCCUCUGCCGAGUGGGUUGAAGGCAAAUACUUGAAGUUGCAAUCGAAGGUCAAGAAAAUGGAAUCAAGAGGUCACAAUCCUUCUCUGAUGAUGGCUUAGAAAGCUGGAAGACACUCAACAUUGAAUCCUGGGGCUCUGUGCCAUGCUUGCUAGGAGAAACAGCCACCAUGAGUCCAUCUUUCAGAUCUCAAGUGAACAGUCAUUCUCCAGCUGGGAUUGAGAACAAGGGGAAGCUGGCCAUAGAGCCAGGUGACCAAAGAUGGAAGACAAAGGGUGGGCUGUGAUUCCCAGAGCUCCAAGCCUUGUUCUGUCUUGUCACACCAACUGUUACUGAUGAACAGCAUGUGAGAACUUUUGGCUGAUGAAUACAAGAUACGCUCAUUCAUUCUCUUCAUUGCUAUGAAAUGAGUUUUUCCACAACCUCCUGCAGAACCUCAACACAUCACUAGGUGGCAACAUCCCUACACCAUAUCGGUUUAGAAACCACGGUUAGGAGGAGCAGCAAAACACGCGGCAUCCCAGUAUGAUUCAGAAGUAAAGUUUACAAUCUUUGAGGCCUGGCUGACUCAUGGAACAACUAGGACAAGAAACAAAGACAAAGAACACACACCUGACUGGACAGAGAUAAACCAAGAGCUGAGAGUUUUGGAAACAAGGCUGGAGCUGAGGAAAAGGACUGGGAACACGAACCUGUACAAACAACAAAUUCUUACAACAGAAAACAAGCCACUCCUGGCCAUCAAGAAACCCACAAAUCUCAGAAGCAAAAGCAAAACAAAUGAAAAUACAAACCAAAUAGUCUCUAUUACCUUCAUGCCUGUUGGGUCCCAAUAAAGGAAUCAUUCCAAUAAA
Molecule: long non-coding RNA, 920 nt
Filed under: Homo sapiens (human)
Lineage: Eukaryota; Metazoa; Chordata; Mammalia; Primates; Hominidae
Description: HSALNT0307197
Source: RNAcentral